GUUGGUAUAGCUCAGCAGGAGAGUGCGUGCUUAGCAUGCAAAAGGUCCUGGGUUCAAUCCCCAGUACCUCCA
Molecule: transfer RNA, 72 nt
Filed under: Camelus bactrianus (Bactrian camel)
Lineage: Eukaryota; Metazoa; Chordata; Mammalia; Artiodactyla; Camelidae
Also listed under: 1 other name
Rfam family: tRNA
About the family: Transfer RNA (tRNA) molecules are approximately 80 nucleotides in length. Their secondary structure includes four short double-helical elements and three loops (D, anti-codon, and T loops).
Source: Rfam by way of RNAcentral